AUUGAACGCUGGCGGCAUGCUUUACACAUGCAAGUCGAACGGUAACAGGCCUUCGGGUGCUGACGAGUGGCGAACGGGUGAGUAAUGCAUCGGAACGUGCCCAGAGGUGGGGGAUAACGCAGCGAAAGCUGUGCUAAUACCGCAUGUGAUCUGAGGAUGAAAGCGGGGGACCAGGCAGCAAUGUUUGGCCUCGCGCCUUUGGAGCGGCCGAUGUCAGAUUAGGUAGUUGGUGGGGUAAAGGCCUACCAAGCCGACGAUCUGUAGCUGGUCUGAGAGGACGACCAGCCACACGAGGACUGAGACACGGCCCAGACUCCUACGGGAGGCAGCAGUGGGGAAUUUUGGACAAUGGUCGCAAGCCUGAUCCAGCAAUGCCGCGUGCGGGAAGGAGGCCUUCGGGUUGUAAACCGCUUUUGUACGGAACGAAAAGGCUCUGGCUAAUACCUGGGGCUGAUGACGGUACCGUAAGAAUAAGCACCGGCUAACUACGUG
This 492-nucleotide ribosomal RNA is filed under the name uncultured bacterium. RNAcentral's name for it is "partial 16S ribosomal RNA". It matches the Rfam family "Bacterial small subunit ribosomal RNA", at positions 30 to 507 of the family's 1533-position model. The record is from RNAcentral.